RNAcentral lists this ribosomal RNA (498 nucleotides) under uncultured bacterium. RNAcentral's name for it is "partial 16S ribosomal RNA". It matches the Rfam family "Bacterial small subunit ribosomal RNA", at positions 28 to 507 of the family's 1533-position model. The record is from RNAcentral.
GACGAACGCUGGCGGCGUGCCUAAUACAUGCAAGUCGAGCGGACGAAUCGAAAGCUUGCCUUUGAUUCGUUAGCGGCGGACGGGUGAGUAACACGUGGGCAACCUGCCCUGUAGACGGGGAUAACACCGAGAAAUCGGUGCUAAUACCGGAUAACACGAAAUGUCGCAUGACGUUUCGUUGAAAGACGGCGCAAGCUGUCGCUACAGGAUGGGCCCGCGGCGCAUUAGCUAGUUGGUGAGGUAACGGCUCACCAAGGCGACGAUGCGUAGCCGACCUGAGAGGGUGAUCGGCCACACUGGGACUGAGACACGGCCCAGACUCCUACGGGAGGCAGCAGUAGGGAAUCUUCCGCAAUGGACGAAAGUCUGACGGAGCAACGCCGCGUGAGCGAAGAAGGCCUUCGGGUCGUAAAGCUCUGUUGUUAGGGAAGAACAAGUAACGCAGUAACUGGCGUUACCGUGACGGUACCUAACGAGAAAGCCACGGCUAACUACGUG